Molecule: ribosomal RNA, 492 nt
Filed under: uncultured bacterium
Lineage: Bacteria
Description: bacterial SSU rRNA
Rfam family: Bacterial small subunit ribosomal RNA
Source: RNAcentral
GAUGAACGCUAGCUACAGGCUUAACACAUGCAAGUCGAGGGCAGCAUGAGCUUAGCUUGCUAAGUUUGAUGGCGACCGGCGCACGGGUGAGUAACGCGUAUCCAACCUUCCGUUUACUCAGGGAUAGCCUUUCGAAAGAAAGAUUAAUACCUGAUAGUAUGGUGAGAUUGCAUGAUGGCACCAUUAAAGAUUUAUUGGUAAACGAUGGGGAUGCGUUCCAUUAGGUAGUAGGCGGGGUAACGGCCCACCUAGCCUGCGAUGGAUAGGGGUUCUGAGAGGAAGGUCCCCCACAUUGGAACUGAGACACGGUCCAAACUCCUACGGGAGGCAGCAGUGAGGAAUAUUGGUCAAUGGGCGAGAGCCUGAACCAGCCAAGUAGCGUGAAGGAUGAAGGUCCUACGGAUUGGUAAAACUUCUUUUAAUACGGGAAUAAAGUAUCCUACGUGUAGGAUUUUGUAUGUACCGUAUGAAUAAGGAUCGGCUAACUCCGUG